This 603-nucleotide ribosomal RNA is filed under the name uncultured bacterium. Its description in RNAcentral is "bacterial SSU rRNA". The stretch from base 1 to 514 matches the Rfam family "Bacterial small subunit ribosomal RNA", at positions 338 to 873 of the family's 1533-position model. The record is from RNAcentral.
CCUACGGGAGGCAGCAGUGGGGAAUCUUGCGCAAUGGGCGAAAGCCUGACGCAGCAACGCCGCGUGCGGGAAGAAGGCUUUCGGGCUGUAAACCGCUUUCAGUAGGAACGAAAAUGACGGUACCUACAGAAGAAGGAGCGGCCAACUAUGUGCCAGCAGCCGCGGUGACACAUAGGCUCCAAGCGUUGUCCGGAUUUAUUGGGCGUAAAGAGCUCGUAGGCGGUUGAGUAAGUCGGGUGUGAAAACUUUGGGCUUAACCCCAAAGAUGCCACUCGAUACUGUUCGACUUGAGUUCGGUAGGGGAGCGGGGAAUUCCUUGUGUAGCGGUGAAAUGCGCAGAUAUAAGGAGGAACACCGGUGGCGAAGGCGCCGCUCUGGGCCGAUACUGGCGCUGAGGAGCGAAAGCGUGGGGAGCAAACAGGAUUAGAUACCCUGGUAGUCCACGCGGUAAACGGUGGUCACUAGUGUGGUUCGUAUCAUGAGAUCGCGCCGUCGCUACGCAUAAGUGACCGCCGUGGGUAGGUACGGUCGCGAGACGUAAACGUUAAAUAGAGUGACGGCGUGUAGACGUUGCCGAACGGACGACGACGAGGGGAGGUUAGG